Molecule: ribosomal RNA, 584 nt
Filed under: Hanseniaspora uvarum
Lineage: Eukaryota; Fungi; Ascomycota; Saccharomycetes; Saccharomycodales; Saccharomycodaceae
Description: partial large subunit ribosomal RNA
Rfam family: Eukaryotic large subunit ribosomal RNA
Source: RNAcentral
CUAUGGGCAUACUUAGUACGGCGAGUGAGCGGUAAAAGCUCAAAUUUGAAAUCUGGUACUUUCAGUGCCCGAGUUGUAAUUUGUAGAAUUUGUCUUUGAUUAGGUCCUUGUCUAUGUUCCUUGGAACAGGACGUCAUAGAGGGUGAGAAUCCCGUUUGGCGAGGAUACCUUUUCUCUGUAAGACUUUUUCGAAGAGUCGAGUUGUUUGGGAAUGCAGCUCAAAGUGGGUGGUAAAUUCCAUCUAAAGCUAAAUAUUGGCGAGAGACCGAUAGCGAACAAGUACAGUGAUGGAAAGAUGAAAAGAACUUUGAAAAGAGAGUGAAAAAGUACGUGAAAUUGUUGAAAGGGAAGGGCAUUUGAUCAGACAUGGUGUUUUUUGCAUGCACUCGCCUCUCGUGGGCUUGGGCCUCUCAAAAAUUUCACUGGGCCAACAUCAAUUCUGGCAGCAGGAUAAAUCAUUAAGAAUGUAGCUACUUCGGUAGUGUUAUAGCUUUUUGGAAUACUGUUAGCCGGGAUUGAGGACUGCGCUUCGGCAAGGAUGUUGGCAUAAUGGUUAAAUGCCGCCCGUCUUGAACCACGGACCA